RNAcentral lists this ribosomal RNA (526 nucleotides) under uncultured bacterium. RNAcentral describes it as "partial 16S ribosomal RNA". It matches the Rfam family "Bacterial small subunit ribosomal RNA", at positions 8 to 524 of the family's 1533-position model. The record is from RNAcentral.
AGAGUUUGAUCCNGGCUAGGANAACGCUAGCGGCAGGCCUAACACUGCAAGUCGAGGGUAAAGGAGUAGCUGCUACNCCUGACGACGGCGCACGGGUGCGUAACGCGUAACAAUCUACCNNNCCUGAGGGAAGCCCAGAGAAANNCGGANAAUACCUCAUGGUAUCUAUUAUCGCAUGGUAAAANGAUUAAAGGUUACGGCAAAAGAUGAGUAUGCGUCCUAUUAGCUAGAUGGUGUGGUAACGGCACACCAUGGCAACGAUAGGUAGGGGCCCNGAGAGGGGGAUCCUCCACACUGGUACUGAGACACGGACCAGACUCCUACGGGAGGCAGCAGUGAGGAAUAUUGGACAAUGGAGGCAACUCUGAUCCAGCCAUGCCGCGUGCAGGAAGACUGCCCCUAUGGGUUUGUAAAACUGCUUUUAUACGGGAAAGAAAACCCCACCCUACGUGUAGGUGGGCUUGNACGGUACCCGUAAAGNAAUAAGGGAUCGGCUAACUUCCGUGCCCAGCAGCCCGCGGGUAAU